RNAcentral lists this ribosomal RNA (1463 nucleotides) under uncultured prokaryote. RNAcentral describes it as "partial 16S ribosomal RNA". It matches the Rfam family "Bacterial small subunit ribosomal RNA". The record is from RNAcentral.
UUGAACGCUGGCGGCAGGCUUAACACAUGCAAGUCGAGCGGUAACAGGAGAAGUUUGUUUCUUGCUGACGAGCGGCGGACGGGUGAGUAACGCGUAGGAAUCUGCCUAGCAGUGGGGGAUAGCCCGGAGAAAUCCGGAUUAAUACCGCAUACGCCCUUCGGGGGAAAGAAGGCCUAUUUAUAUGCUUUCACUGUUAGAUGAGCCUGCGUGAGAUUAGCUAGUUGGUAGGGUAAAGGCCUACCAAGGCGUCGAUCUGUAGCCGGCCUGAGAGGGUGAUCGGCCACACUGGAACUGAGACACGGUCCAGACUCCUACGGGAGGCAGCAGUGGGGAAUAUUGCACAAUGGGCGAAAGCCUGAUGCAGCCAUGCCGCGUGUGUGAAGAAGGCCUUCGGGUUGUAAAGCACUUUCAGUUGUGAGGAAAGGGGUGUAGUUAAUAGCUGCAUUCUGUGACGUUAACAACAGAAGAAGCACCGGCUAACUUCGUGCCAGCAGCCGCGGUAAUACGAGGGGUGCAAGCGUUAAUCGGAAUUACUGGGCGUAAAGCGCGCGUAGGUGGUCAAGUCAGUCAACUGUGAAAGCCCUGGGCUCAACCUGGGAACUGCAGCUGAUACUGCUUGACUCGAGUAUGGUAGAGGGGUGUGGAAUUUCCUGUGUAGCGGUGAAAUGCGUAGAUAUAGGAAGGAACAUCAGGUGGCGAAGGCGACACCCUGGACCAAUACUGACACUGAGGUGCGAAAGCGGGGGGAGCAAACAGGAUUAGAUCCCCUGGUAGUCCACGCCGUAAACGAUGUCUACUAGCCGUUGGGGAACUUGAUUCUUUAGUGGCGCAGCUAACGCGAUAAGUAGACCGCCUGGGGAGUACGGUCGCAAGAUUAAAACUCAAAUGAAUUGACGGGGGCCCGCACAAGCGGUGGAGCAUGUGGUUUAAUUCGAUGCAACGCGAAGAACCUUACCAUCCCUUGACAUCCAGAGAAUGGGCUAGAGAUAGCUUAGUGCCUUCGGGAACUCUGAGACAGGUGCUGCAUGGCUGUCGUCAGCUCGUGUCGUGAGAUGUUGGGUUAAGUCCCGUAACGAGCGCAACCCUUAUCCUUAUUUGCCAGCACUUCGGGUGGGAACUCUAAGGAGACUGCCGGUGACAAACCGGAGGAAGGUGGGGACGACGUCAAGUCAUCAUGGCCCUUACGGGAUGGGCUACACACGUGCUACAAUGGCCGGUACAGAGGGCAGCAAACCAGCGAUGGUAAGCAAAUCUCAGAAAACCGGUCGUAGUCCGGAUCGGAGUCUGCAACUCGACUCCGUGAAGUCGGAAUCGCUAGUAAUCGCGAAUCAGAAUGUCGCGGUGAAUACGUUCCCGGGCCUUGUACACACCGCCCGUCACACCAUGGGAGUGGAUUGCACCAGAAGUAGGUAGCUUAACCUUAGGGAGGGCGCUUACCACGGUGUGGUUCAUGACUGGGGUGA